Molecule: ribosomal RNA, 266 nt
Filed under: uncultured Staphylococcus sp.
Lineage: Bacteria; Bacillati; Bacillota; Bacilli; Caryophanales; Staphylococcaceae
Description: partial 16S ribosomal RNA
Rfam family: Bacterial small subunit ribosomal RNA
Source: RNAcentral
CGGCGGACGGGUGAGUAACACGUGGAUAACCUACCUAUAAGACUGGGAUAACUUCGGGAAACCGGAGCUAAUACCGGAUAAUAUAUUGAACCGCAUGGUUCAAUAGUGAAAGACGGUUUUGCUGUCACUUAUAGAUGGAUCCGCGUCGCAUUAGCUAGUUGGUAAGGUAACGGCUUACCAAGGCAACGAUGCGUAGCCGACCUGAGAGGGUGAUCGGCCACACUGGAACUGAGACACGGUCCAGACUCCUACGGGAGGCAGCAGUU